This 513-nucleotide ribosomal RNA is filed under the name bacterium ID4-29. Its description in RNAcentral is "partial 16S ribosomal RNA". It matches the Rfam family "Bacterial small subunit ribosomal RNA", at positions 33 to 525 of the family's 1533-position model. The record is from RNAcentral.
AAUUUNACGCUGGCCGGCAUGCCUANUNUAUGUCUAGUNCCACNGCNNCUCAAAGGAACUUGNNCCUUGNNUGGCUAGUCGGCGGACGGGUGAGUAAUGCCUAGGAAAUUGCCCUGAUGUGGGGGAUAACCAUUGGAAACGAUGGCUAAUACCGCAUGAUGCCUACGGGCCAAAGAGGGGGACCUUCGGGCCUCUCGCGUCAGGAUAUGCCUAGGUGGGAUUAGCUAGUUGGUGAGGUAAUGGCUCACCAAGGCGACGAUCCCUAGCUGGUCUGAGAGGAUGAUCAGCCACACUGGAACUGAGACACGGUCCAGACUCCUACGGGAGGCAGCAGUGGGGAAUAUUGCACAAUGGGCGCAAGCCUGAUGCAGCCAUGCCGCGUGUAUGAAGAAGGCCUUCGGGUUGUAAAGUACUUUCAGUCGUGAGGAAGGUGGUGUUGUUAAUAGCAGCAUCAUUUGACGUUAGCGACAGAAGAAGCACCGGCUAACUCCGUGCCAGCAGCCGNNGGUAAUA